GAAGAGAGCUCAGUUAAGGGAAGCUCUGGUUGGUUUCAUCAAGUUCUCAGUGAACGUGUGAUUGUUGGAGGUGUUUGGUUUAGUUGUAGUGAUGGUGAACGUGUGACUGUUGGAGGUGUUUGGUUUAGUUGUAGUGAUGGUGAACGUGUGAUUGUUGGAGGUGUUUGGUUUAGUUCCAGUGAUGGUGAACGUGUGAUUGUUGGAGGUGUUUGGUUUAGUUCCAGUGAUGGUGAACGUGUGACUGUUGGAAGUGUUUGCUGCUUCCAGAAACAGGACGGUCACUGUGAGUGUUCAACU
Long non-coding RNA from Acanthochromis polyacanthus (spiny chromis), 297 nucleotides. RefSeq lists it as uncharacterized. The transcript has 3 exons. NCBI's taxonomy places the organism in Eukaryota, Metazoa, Chordata, Actinopteri, Pomacentridae. The record is from RefSeq and is a predicted model, not a curated record.